GAUGAAGAACGUAGCGAAAUGCGAUACUUGGUGUGAAUUGCAGAAUCCCGUGAACCAUCGAGUCUUUGAACGCAAGUUGCGCCCGAAGCCAUUAGGCCGAGGGCACGCCUGCCUGGGCGUCACACGUCGUUGCCCCCCCAUCUAAUCCUUCGGGAUUGCGGGGGGCGGAUGAUGGCCUCCCGUGCGCCUCGUCGCGCGGUUGGCAUAAAUGCCAAGUCCUCGGCGACGCACGCCACGACAAUCGGUGGUUGCGAAACCUCGGUUGCCCGUCGUGUGCGGUCGUCGCGCAUCGAGGGCUCGAAAAAAUUGCCGGGUUCCGGCUCGGCUUUCAACGCGACCCCAGGUCAGGCGGGGUUACCCGCUGAAUUUAAGCAUAUCAAUAAGCGGAGGA
This 391-nucleotide unclassified non-coding RNA is filed under the name soil metagenome. RNAcentral's name for it is "partial contains 5.8S ribosomal RNA, internal transcribed spacer 2, and large subunit ribosomal RNA". The stretch from base 1 to 122 matches the Rfam family "5.8S ribosomal RNA", at positions 35 to 154 of the family's 154-position model. The record is from RNAcentral.